UAAUAUUAAACCAACAAAAGAAAUCCUUAGAAGCCUAAAGAAAAGGGGGGAAAGAUGAGGCCGAGGCCGAUGCCGAUGGAAUUCGUGACGGACCCAGACGUCCAAGGUUCAACCAUGGAAGUCGACGAUGUUGACACACUGGAGAUCUUCGGUGAAGGCGUCGUCGCUUCCGAUAAUUUUGAUGACUCCAAUAUCGACUAAAAAAACAAAGAAGAAUCGGUCCUCAUCUAUCCUUUUUUUUCCCUUCUUACUUUCGCUUUUUAGGGUCUGAAAUUUCUUAAAACUUUGUUCAAUUUAGUUGAAUCUGAACUGCACUAUGGAUGCUUAUCUAUAUGCAAAUCCUGUGAAUCGUCACAGGUCCUCGGGUUCAACUACAUAAUACAAAUUCCACCUUCAAACUUCAUUUUUCCUUCAAAAUAAAGCUUCGAUUUGAUCUCUUUUAGUGAGACAAAUGGCUGAAAAUCUUAUGCAUGCUUUACAAUAUAGCAGCUAUGGCGGAGGCGCUGCUGCUUUGGAGCAUGUUGAAGUUUCGAUCCCAACACCAAAUAAAGGUGAAAUUUUGCUUAAACUGGAUUGUAGACUGGUUUGUAGACUCUUUUAUAAUUUAACCAACAAAAUAAUAGACUGGUUUGUAGAUCUCUUAAUUAAAAAUGGAUAGCCUUUCAAUUGCUUCUGUUUUGUUUCUACUUAUUGUUUUAAGCUGGAAAGGUUGGUUUUCUUUUUAAAGGAAAGUUGAUUCUCCCUUAAUUCUUAGAUUUCCGGAACUGAUUUUCAGGUUUGACAAGGAACUGAACAAGUAAGUUGCUAUUAAAGUUAUUGAUUUAGAAGAAUCGUAAGUGGAUACCUUUGUUAUAUUUUCCUUGAUUUAUUCCUCAUUAAAGUGUCUUGUAGCAGGUGCUUGCUAUGAGCAGCAAAGUAUGAAUGAAUGUGAUUAUCAACUUUACAAAUAUACAUAGUAAAGUUUAAAGUAUGAAUCGAAUUGCUAUGAGCAGCAAAUUUAGGGGUAAAACGUCACACCAAAUUGCUAUGAGCAGCAAAGAAAAUUUUUUUAAUUGCAGAAAACCAACUUCCCUUCUUUCCCAUACUGCCAGAAAAUUUAGGGACCGCACGACACUUAAUUUCUUGUGGUUGAUUUCGAUAGGUGGUGGACUGGUGAGGAAUCUGUGAAUGUUCUCUUAGAAUCCGCAGGUCAAGCAUGACACUGAUGGUUUUGAUAAACAAGGAAUGAGGCUUCUGCUUGCGACACUUAACAGGAUAGUUGAUUCAUUGCAGACAACUUAUGAAGGUUUGUUUUUAUUGGAUUUCAGACUUCAAUGGUAAAGGCAAUAUAUAUAUUUGAUUUAUCUGCACAAGGUAAGCAUUUUCUUCCGGUUCUCAUGAAUUUCCGUCUAUGGUCGAGCAUUCUCUUCAAGCGUAAUGUCCUUACUAGAAUGCUUUCCAUAUUUCCAUUGUAUCUUACAUGCAAUCCGAACUUAUAUCUUUGUGAACGUAUAUGCAGUUUCCUCUUCUGUCGAAAAAUGCAUACUUACAAAAGUUGGUUGCAAGUGAUAAUGAAGAAAACAAUGAUGAAAUUCAUAUUUCUGACAUUCCCGGAGGCCCAGUUGCCUUUGAGAUAUGUGCCAAAAUUUAAUAAAAAAUGAACUUAUAUCAUUUUUCUUUUACUUGUGUGCAUUGCAUAACAAAUCUAUGACACUUUUAGUCAAGUGUGACUGUUGGUUACAUGUACGAGUCCAGACAACAGAUAUGAUUGAACUUUGGUUACCUAUAUUGACUUAAGUGAGUAGAUAUAUCAGUAGUGUACAUUUUAUAUUUCACAAACAAUCUUAAAAAGUUGAGUUAUUAUUAUUUUUAGAUGUAUUUUUUUAAUAAUUUACUAUAACAUUAUAAAACAAUCUUAAAAAGUUGAACUGAUUUACUUAUCUUUGCCAUGUUCACUAUGGUUUGAACAUAUUAAGUUACUCUUAUUUUCAUGCAGAGCAUGUAGGAGCCAAAUUUGCGGUUCAAAUUCGAAGCCAUGCUCAACAGUUUUUCUGUAAGGCUCAUUGGUUUGAGUUCAUUAUAAGAUUUCCUUGACUAAGUAAAUGUAUUAUAUCUUUUAUUACCAAGAUUUACUUGAUUAAGAAAAUGCAUUGUAUAUUAUUACCUUGCAUAUGUAUUAUUUAUUUUAGUUUUCAUUCUAAAUUUGCAUUUUUACUUAAAA
Long non-coding RNA from Gossypium raimondii (Peruvian cotton), 2200 nucleotides. RefSeq lists it as uncharacterized. The transcript is spliced from 4 exons. Lineage: Eukaryota; Viridiplantae; Streptophyta; Magnoliopsida; Malvales; Malvaceae. The record is from RefSeq and is a predicted model, not a curated record.